UGCAGCAGUGGGGAAUUUUGGGCAAUGGGCGAAGGCCUGAUCCAGCCAUAUAGUAAGAGUGAUUAAACUCUAAAGAAAACGACAAUAAUGAUAUUAGUUUUCUACUAAUCCUGACUAAUCUCGUGCCAGCAGUCGCGGUAAUACGAGAAGGAUAAGCGUAAUUCAUUAUAUCUAGGUGUAAAGGGUCUGUAGGCUGCAAAUUGCUAGAGUGAAAAAUAGGAAAGAGGAAUUAAAUAAGUAGGGAUAAAAUCCAUAAAGAUAUUUUAAGAACAUCAAAGGCGAAGGCAUCUUUCUCUUUAACACUGACGCUAAGAGACUAAAGUGUGGGUAGCGAAAAGGAUUAGAUACCCCAUUAGUCCAC
This 361-nucleotide ribosomal RNA is filed under the name Neoconidiobolus pachyzygosporus. RNAcentral's name for it is "SSU rRNA". It matches the Rfam family "Bacterial small subunit ribosomal RNA", at positions 347 to 798 of the family's 1533-position model. Lineage: Eukaryota; Fungi; Entomophthoromycota; Entomophthoromycetes; Entomophthorales; Neoconidiobolaceae. The record is from RNAcentral.